UAGGGAAUAUUGCGCAAUGGGGGCAACCCUGACGCAGCAACUCCACGUGUGGGAUGAAGCAUUUCGGUGUGUAAACCACUGUCGGAUGGGAAUAAGGCGUCGCCACGGCGGCGUUGAAUGUACCAUUAGAGGAAGCACCGGCAAACUUCGUGCCAGCAGCCGCGGUAAUACGAGGGGUGCGAGCGUUGUUCGGAAUCACUGGGCGUAAAGGGAGCGUAGGCGGACCGCCAAGCGUUCUGUGCAAUCCCGGGGCCCAACCCCGGACCCGCAGAGCGAACUGGCGGCCUUGAGUAGUCCAGAGGCCGGCGGAAUUCCUGGUGUAGCGGUGGAAUGCGUAGAUAUCAGGAAGAACACCGAUGGCGAAGGCAGCCGGCUGGGGACUUACUGACGCUGAGGCUCGAAAGCGCGGGUAGCAAACAGGAUUAGAUACCCUGGUAAU
Molecule: ribosomal RNA, 439 nt
Filed under: uncultured Fibrobacter sp.
Lineage: Bacteria; Pseudomonadati; Fibrobacterota; Fibrobacteria; Fibrobacterales; Fibrobacteraceae
Description: bacterial SSU rRNA
Rfam family: Bacterial small subunit ribosomal RNA
Source: RNAcentral